AGCUUCAGUAGCGUAUAUUAAAGUUGUUGCAGUUAAAAAGCUCGUAGUCGCAUUUCUGGCGAGAGGAUCCGGUCCGACCUUUUGGUGGGUUCUUGGGUCUCUUUCGCCAUCCUUGAGUGGUCCGUUCUGGCAUUAGGUUGUCGGAGCGUCAGCCGCUCAUCGUUUACUGUGAGAAAAUUAGAGUGUUCAAAGCAGGCUUAUGCCGUUGAAUAUAUUAGCAUGGAAUAAUAAGAUAGGACCGCGGUACUAUUUUGUUGGUUUGCGCACCAAGGUAAUGAUGAACAGGGACAGUUGGGAGUAUUUGUAUUUCGUUGUCAGAGGUGAAAUUCUUAGAUUUACGAAAGACAAACUACUGCGAAAGCAUUUACCAAGGAUGUUUUCA
RNAcentral lists this ribosomal RNA (382 nucleotides) under uncultured marine Chaetocerotaceae. RNAcentral describes it as "SSU rRNA". It matches the Rfam family "Eukaryotic small subunit ribosomal RNA", at positions 587 to 972 of the family's 1831-position model. Lineage: Eukaryota; Bacillariophyta; Thalassiosirophyceae; Chaetocerotales; Chaetocerotaceae. The record is from RNAcentral.